This 72-nucleotide transfer RNA is filed under the name Camelus ferus (Wild Bactrian camel). It matches the Rfam family "tRNA". From Rfam's summary of the family: Transfer RNA (tRNA) molecules are approximately 80 nucleotides in length. Their secondary structure includes four short double-helical elements and three loops (D, anti-codon, and T loops). The record is from Rfam by way of RNAcentral. Lineage: Eukaryota; Metazoa; Chordata; Mammalia; Artiodactyla; Camelidae.
GAGGGUAUAGUUCAGUGGUAGAGUACAUGCCUAGCAUGUAUGAGGUCCUGGGUUCAAUCCUCAGUAUCUCCA